Molecule: transfer RNA, 90 nt
Filed under: Polaromonas naphthalenivorans CJ2
Lineage: Bacteria; Pseudomonadati; Pseudomonadota; Betaproteobacteria; Burkholderiales; Comamonadaceae
Description: tRNA-Ser-TGA-1-1
Rfam family: tRNA
About the family: Transfer RNA (tRNA) molecules are approximately 80 nucleotides in length. Their secondary structure includes four short double-helical elements and three loops (D, anti-codon, and T loops). Further hydrogen bonds mediate the characteristic L-shaped molecular structure. tRNAs have two regions of fundamental functional importance: the anti-codon, which is responsible for specific mRNA codon recognition, and the 3' end, to which the tRNAs corresponding amino acid is attached (by aminoacyl-tRNA synthetases). tRNAs cope with the degeneracy of the genetic code in two manners: having more than one tRNA (with a specific anti-codon) for a particular amino acid; and 'wobble' base-pairing, i.e. permitting non-standard base-pairing at the 3rd anti-codon position.
Source: RNAcentral
GGAAGCGUGGCAGAGCGGUUGAAUGCAGCAGUCUUGAAAACUGCCGAGGAUGCGAGUCCUCCGUGAGUUCGAAUCUCACCGCUUCCGCCG